UACGGAGGGUGCAAGCGUUAUUCGGAUUUGCUGGGCGUAAAGGGCGCGUAGGCGGCUUGAUAAGUCAGUCGUGAAAGCCCGGGGCUCAACCCCGGAAGUGCGAUCGAAACUAUUUGGCUUGAGUAUGGUAGAGGGAAGUGGAAUUCCAGGUGUAGCGGUGAAAUGCGUAGAUAUCUGGAGGAACACCGGUGGCGAAGGCGACUUCCUGGACCAAUACUGACGCUGAUGCGCGAAGGUGUGGGUAGCAAACAGGAUUAGAUACCCUGGUAGUCCACACAGUAAACGGUGAUCACUAGGUGUUGCGGGUAUUGACCCCUGCAGUGCCGGAGCUAACGCAUUAAGUGCACCGCCUGGGGAGUACGGUCGCAAGACUGAA
RNAcentral lists this ribosomal RNA (376 nucleotides) under uncultured bacterium. RNAcentral describes it as "bacterial SSU rRNA". It matches the Rfam family "Bacterial small subunit ribosomal RNA", at positions 524 to 898 of the family's 1533-position model. The record is from RNAcentral.